This 13375-nucleotide long non-coding RNA is filed under the name Triticum aestivum (bread wheat). Its description in RNAcentral is "long non-coding RNA (TAES_LNC009405)". Lineage: Eukaryota; Viridiplantae; Streptophyta; Magnoliopsida; Poales; Poaceae. The record is from RNAcentral.
GAGGACAAGCUCUAAACUUUUGCUUCUGUUACAUGGUCUAGUUUGCUUUUGCUGCUAAGAGAGCUGCACUAUUAUCUGUCUAUUGAGUCGUCGUCGCUGUAUUGCUAUUGGAAUGUACUCCUAUCUGUCGUGAUACUGGCACUUUGUUUUGAUGUCUGUCGAUGUUAAAACUUAGAUUAUAUAUCUGUCGCGAUACUUUUGAUGUCUAUCAAUGUUAAAACUUAGACUAUAUAUCUGUUAUGGUAGUUCUUGUUGAUGUCUUGUUUGCUUUUGUGUUAGAUCUUGAGAUCUCUGCCUGGUUCUUUAUUUUGCUCUAGUCUUGCUCUAUAUUUUUAAUGAUCUUGAGAGCUCCUCUACUUGCAGUAUUUCUUCCUGCUCUUAUCAUCAUUUUACCUUCCAUGUUUUAUGCCCAUCAAAAUGUGUUCCAUCUUCUGUCAGUUGUAUUUCAAUCUAUGCUGUACUUGUUUUUCUCCAUUUUCACGAGACACGCACUGAUGAUGAGAAAUUGCUCCCUAGUGCUAGAUACAUCUGUUGAGCAAACAACAUUUCAGACGGAGGAUGUAGUACAUUAGAGGAACUUGCCGAGAGAAUAUACUGUAGUAGAAGCAUCUGUUAAUGCCGAGAGUAUCCGAACUUGUAUCUCUUCGGAAUACUACAGAUUGAACCUUUGUAGGCAUGAAAGAAUAUUCACAUAAUUUUCAUGCUCAGUAACUCUCUUACUCCACGGUCAUAGCAAUAUUGAGUUCUGAAGUUGUUCAUGGUAAAUUCUGGCAUAUAAUUGAUUUGUCUGCUAUUUCUUUACUGUUACUGGAUGCAAUGUACUGAGUAGUUGUACACGGGCUCUAUGUAAUUAUGACACUUGCAAAUAAGCUUCAACCUUUUAAUUUUUGCUGAAACAUAGGCAUGCCAUUUAAUGACUUGUUUUCAUGACCAACUUUGCCACAAUUAAGCUUAGGCAAAGAGUGGCUAACAAAAUGUUUACUACAAGUGUGGCAAGAUUUGGCAAAAAAUUUGAGCCUAUGACAUGUGGAUCAUAUAGCUAGAAAAGUGUGGCAGCUAAGUGUGGCAAUAAACUAAAUACAUGCCUAAGAUGUUGUGGCACGACUAAGGUUAGACGCGGAAACCUUACGCUGCAAAUCAAACAUACCUUAACUAAAAUAAAGUGAUCUCAGGUUUCUUAAUUUGGACACGAUGUUCAUAAAUACAAAUAAUACUCUCUCCGUAUCUAAUACUAAAACGUGACUUGAUACAUCCGUAUUUAGACAAAUCUAAGACAAGAAUUUUGGGACGGGGGAGUAGAUGAUUGGCUUUGGUCAGUGUGUUCUGGCCGCUUUAUGGAUGCUUACUUUUAUCUUUUAUGAAAUUUCAAUACUUUUCAAAAGACAAGACAGACUUUUAAUUGCCAACAAAAAUAGUACGGGAAAAUAGGGCUGAGGCUCGUCCAUCAAAUUCUCCGCUAAAAGGGAAAAUAUAAAGUGGCGGAGCUAACAAUAAUUUUGAUUGAUUGCAUUCAUCUUUGGAUGAAAGCUUAGUUUGAGCAUGAUUCUCCAAAAAUAUUACCUAAAUGAUAAGCUUAAAAUCCGUAGCCUCCUAUUCACCAUCUCUAGUCAAUCAUGUCGAUCAUUUCAAUGGAUAUUAGAGUUAUGGAUCUUUAUUACGGCUUACCGCCUAAAGAGAAUAAGGUCGAUGCCGGGAAAUCCACCGGUGGUGCCCCUAUGGUACAUGGUGAGCUUCCCGUCACCACACAACUGUUGCCUUGACCAUGGUGGACUUUACGUUAAUGUUGGAUUUUUAAGUCCGCCAUGAUAAAAGAAGUUCAUUCCAUUUUCAAGGAAGAGGUGGGCUCGAAAGUCAAAGCCUCUACAUCCGCACAAUCCUCAUUUGCUCCAAGUGAGGUUCGUGAUGUGGACGAUGUAAGAGAACAUCUUGCUCUCCCCGAACCUACAAUUGCACCCCUCGCAAUUCCAUAGAGUGCCACUACACACUAUGACCUAUCCAACAUCCGGAUAUUAAUCAUGUUGGGCCUCCGCCCCCUUUGAAAGCUAACACAUUUUCUAAGCGGAAACUCACUCUGGAGUCUCACAUUUACAGUGCCUCUACACAACUCUCAUGGGUGAUUGCGAAUGGUUUCAAGCCCAAGGACCCAUCAAGCCUUACACCAAGGGAAGCCGUUGAUGAUCGAUUCAUUACCACCGCCUUCAACAUGCUCCGGCUUGCCACCACCGAUGAGUAUGCCAAUUCCAUUGCUAUCUUCAAGCCCCCCAAAGAAAUUUGAGAUUGCAUUGAGGAUAUAUUUGAAGGACAUGACAAUGUUCAGAGAUCUAGGUUGGUCAUUGUUCGUCAAUUUGUCCAUAAGGAAUGUGAGAGAGACCACUGAAGAGGUGUUCUGGAGAUUGAAGUCACUUGUGUUGGAUUCGAGAAACUUUUGGAGCCAUGGUCUUUACGAAUCAUACUAUGAUCAUGAUGAUCCACCAACAUCCCGACUAUGACCGAAUGACUCCCAAUCGAGUUGUGUCUUCUUUUGGAGAUCAAGUCCAAGAACACAAUGGCGAUUGAUCAAGAAAUAAAGAACUCCAAUCUAGCGCUAAAGGCCAAGAAGGUGGUCGGAUGUGCUACGAGAGAAGAAGUUGAUACCUCGUGUCAGGUUGACUUUGAGGAAGACUUGACCCUCUAGGUCAAGAAAUAUUCGGGCACAAAAGCAAAGAAAAGGGGAAGCAUCUUAAGGGAACAUCCUUUGGGAGAAGAACGUGCCACAAUCUUAUUAAUGUUACAUGGAGAAGAUUUCGUUUUGCGAUUGACUUCUCUCUCGCGCCAUCCGCCUCGCGAGCCGUCCGAUCAAGGUUGAUCGUGCUGCACUCAUCGUAUGUCACCCGUCCACCUGGGGCCCAUGCACCACCGUCCGCAUUAUAUCCAGCGCAACAACGAGAGCCACUCGCUCCCCCCCACAUGAGUGAGAUCCCCAUUUUUCCUCUUCAUAUUUGAAUCCCUCUUUGCACGGCCCCGUCGGAGCAGUCGCAAGCGGCAUGUAGCACCUGACGGGGAACCUGCUGCACCCUAGCAGCCGGCGACCCACAGCACCCGCGUCGGCGUUGCCCAGCAUCGUCGACCGUUCCCGUGCCCUAUGUUGCCGAGCAUCGUUGGCCGUUGCUGCGGUCGGUGUUGCCGAGCACGUCUGCGCUCAGCUCUCAUCUUCUUUUUUUUUUGAGGCACGCUCAGCUCUCAUCUGAAAUUCUCACCACGCCUGGACAUCAUCCCUUUCGGCCCGACUCCACAGUGGACAACAGACAGGCCAGCUUCACUUGCGGGCCGCAUUUCGCGUGGCCGGCCUUCCCCCUCCGCUCCGCGCGCAUCUUGGCCCGCACGGAACCAACAAAAUAGCAUAUAUAACGGCCAGCAAAUGCGACCUAGAGAGUCCUCACUUCCUUGAACCCUUUCCAUUCUCACGGAUCGGGAGCGCCGCCGCUUCCCCACCUCUCGUCUCUCGGCGAACCCCCAAGGUGAGCCGAACCUCCCCUCCCGCCUCCUCCCCCGCGCCCUCCGGCUGCUUCUCCGGCUGCUCCGUCGGCGGGCGCGUCCCUGCUAGCUAGCUACUGGCUGCUACCUGGCCGACCGAUUUCACGGGCUCUAGUCCAGCCUCCUCGCUAGCUCGAUGCGGUCCAGUCCCCUUUGCUGGGUUCGUGGCCGCUGGGAUUAUUCCUAUGUGGUUUCGAUGCUCUUAGACGCGGUAGAUCUGCUGCUUCGUUCGUCCCGCUCGCUUGUUCCUGGCGACGACUUUGUGCUGACGUCACUAGAUAGAUAAGCUCGUCGCUUCCGAUGCGCUUCUGCGGUGGCUAAGGGUGUUUGCCCCGUCGUGUUUAGCGAGGAUCUGCCCGCUCCGCCGUGGUGGACGGCGAUCUGUUUUAUGUGGUGUUCCGUUAGCUUUUUUCGCCAUUUUUUGCUGCGCUGCUGUUCAUCCACGGGCUCUUAGCAUGCUCAAGCUGCAGGGUUUUGCUCACUCGGUUGCCUGCCUGCCGUACCCUGGUUGGUUUCGUUCUCUGUUCUCAUGUUCAGGGCGGAGGAAAUGGUGAUGCAUACCUUUGCUUGGCAUGUUUAAUUUAAUUUGAUUGUGUAUAUAGAACGGGAGACUCUUAUAGAAUGGUGUGUCAGUUCUUAUCUACUUAUAGUUGAGGUAUUAUGGGUGAAUUUAUCCCUCAUCUGUUUUAUUUGGUUAAAUUGAUCCUAUGUGACUAUCUUCUGGUGUUCUUCUCAGUGCUCCCCAUGCAUGGUUGGUUGCACCUAUUUCAGAGCUCAACAUUAUGACCUUCUGUGCAUCGCAUUGUUUCUAGUGUUUACAGUGGUAGUUACUACUACAUGAUAAUACAGUCAGCACGUGUGCAUAAAACUAAAACUACCUUCUGUCACAAAUCAACUUUGCAUAAAACUACGAUUCUGUUUCGAAUCUGAUUUGUUUUCUCCAUCCACAUAUGAUUGAUUCAUGAGAGAUGUUUCUAUGAUCCACAAAGUUAUACAGAUCUGUAGGUACUUGAAGGUUUAGCUAGUGAAAUCCAUUACCUGUUUGUGCUUCAUACUUGCGCACACUUCAGAUAAUGGACUGCUUUUCUUUCUUAUCUUUCUUACUGUUUUGUGCUUUCUUUCGCAUACUGUCAUGUCGAGUGCUCUAAAAAUUGGUUGCCAUUGUUGCUUUCUGGCUUCCUUUUGAACGCACUUUGGGCAAUUAAGUUUUCAGAACAUGGUCUUCAGUUCCCAUAAGUUAGUUUUAGUAUGCUUGGUUGACUGUAACACAUAUUUCAUUUUAGUGGGUGUGGUUGUGGAAGUGUUGGUUAAAGUAUUUUUGGUACUGUACUUGAAGCUAAUGUGUGCCCAACAGUAGUAAGAGCCUUCUGUUUAUUCAGUUGUGGUUUUAAUUACUUAAUUUUUGUUCCAUUCUGAACAGGAACUAUAUUCCCAGCGUGAUAUCCAAAACCAGUCAAGAUGGUGAAGUUUACUGCGGAGGAGCUCCGCGGAAUUAUGGACAAGAAAAAUAAUAUUCGUAACAUGUCUGUUAUUGCUCAUGUCGACCACGGUAUGUGCCUGAACAUACAGUUGUCUCUAAUUAUUGAGUUCAUACAGUAGAAUCUUUGUUAAUCAAUGUUUUCAGCCUCUUAAUUUUACUGUAUUUAAUUCUAAAUACUGAAACUAUUUAAAUGGGUCAAUUUAACAAGUGGAGCAUAAUUAGUUUCAUCCCUAAAACCAAUCCAUCUUAUUGUGUCCUGGAGUUUACUACCACUGCUUAUUAUAUGAUUGAUUUCUGCUUCACCAAUAUGACUGAUUUCUGCUUCACCAAGCUUAAAUGUUACUGUUGACAUACCAUCCCAGGGCUUAUAUCUCCCCAGUUUGGUGUAUUCUCACAUUGUCCCUGAAUGCAUUACACUUGUAGGAUCUGAAAUUUACAUGAUUGUACUUAGUUACUUCAAUAUUGAUGUCCUUAUAUUCUGUUUGCAAUGUCCCACUAGAUUUUGCUUAACCAUGUUGCUAAAAACCUUGUUGAGCUUAUUUGUACCUUCUUUUGUUUCCUGAUUGUUUGAAAGUACUGUACUGCUGUGUCCUACUUCUGCCUUAUAUGAGUUAACAUGUUCGAUUUUCUAUUCAUAUAGGUUGUGUUCAACUGUCAAACCAGAUGCUUGUGCACUGUUCUCACAUAUUAUUUACAUAUUUGCAGGCAAGUCUACGCUUACGGAUUCCCUUGUGGCAGCUGCUGGGAUUAUCGCCCAGGAAGUUGCUGGGGAUGUUCGCAUGACCGAUACCCGUGCAGAUGAGGCAGAGCGUGGUAUUACAAUCAAAUCCACGGGUAUCUCUCUUUUCUAUCAGAUGACUCCUGAAUCACUUGAGAUGUACAAGGGCGACAGGGAUGGAGAUGAAUACCUGAUCAACCUUAUUGAUUCACCUGGCCACGUUGACUUUUCUUCGGAAGUCACAGCUGCUCUUCGUAUCACUGAUGGUGCUUUGGUGGUUGUUGACUGUAUUGAGGGUGUCUGUGUGCAGACCGAAACUGUGCUGCGCCAAGCUCUUGGUGAGAGGAUUAGGCCCGUCCUCACCGUGAACAAGAUGGACAGAUGCUUCCUUGAGCUUCAGUUUGAAGGUGAGGAAGCAUAUCAGACUUUCUCCCGUGUCAUCGAAAAUGCCAAUGUCAUCAUGGCAACAUAUGAAGAUGUGCUCCUUGGUGAUGUCCAAGUGUACCCAGAAAAGGGGACUGUUGCAUUCUCUGCUGGUUUGCAUGGGUGGGCUUUCACCCUUACAAACUUUGCUAAGAUGUAUGCCUCCAAGUUUGGUGUUGAUGAGGUGAAGAUGAUGGAGAGGCUGUGGGGUGAGAACUUCUUUGACCCAGCCACAAAGAAAUGGACCACCAAGAACACUGGGACAGCUACCUGCAAGAGAGGUUUUGUUCAGUUCUGCUAUGAGCCAAUCAAGCAAAUCAUCGCCACCUGCAUGAAUGAUCAGAAGGAUAAGUUGUGGCCUAUGUUGAAGAAGCUUGGUGUGACCAUGAAGAAUGAUGAGAAGGACUUGAUGGGAAAGGCUCUCAUGAAGCGUGUGAUGCAGACUUGGCUGCCUGCCAGUCGUGCUCUGCUUGAGAUGAUGAUAUUUCACCUCCCCUCUCCUUCAAAGGCACAGAGGUAUCGUGUGGAGAACUUAUACGAGGGCCCCCUUGAUGAUGUAUAUGCAAAUGCUAUCAGAAACUGUGACCCUGACGGUCCUCUUAUGCUGUAUGUCUCCAAGAUGAUUCCAGCAUCUGACAAGGGUAGAUUCUUUGCCUUUGGACGUGUUUUUGCCGGGAGGGUUGCAACUGGCAUGAAGGUCCGUAUCAUGGGUCCCAACUUUGUUCCUGGCCAGAAGAAGGAUCUGUAUGUGAAGAGUGUCCAGCGUACUGUUAUCUGGAUGGGAAAGAAGCAAGAGUCUGUUGAGGAUGUUCCCUGUGGUAACACUGUUGCUUUGGUUGGUUUGGAUCAGUUCAUCACCAAGAAUGCAACCCUGACAAAUGAGAAGGAAGUUGAUGCCUGCCCAAUCAGGGCAAUGAAGUUCUCUGUGUCCCCUGUUGUGCGUGUUGCUGUUCAGUGCAAGGUGGCUUCUGAUCUUCCUAAGCUUGUUGAGGGUUUGAAGCGUCUGGCCAAGUCUGAUCCUAUGGUUCUCUGUACCAUUGAAGAGUCUGGUGAGCAUAUCAUUGCUGGAGCUGGAGAGCUUCACCUUGAAAUCUGUCUGAAGGAUCUGCAGGAUGACUUCAUGGGUGGUGCUGAAAUUAUUGUUUCCCCUCCUGUUGUCUCCUUCCGUGAGACUGUUCUGGAGAAGUCCUGCCGUACCGUUAUGAGCAAGUCCCCCAACAAGCACAACCGUCUUUACAUGGAAGCUCGCCCGUUGGAGGAGGGAUUGGCUGAGGCUAUCGAUGAUGGCCGCAUUGGCCCGCGUGAUGAUCCUAAGGUGCGCUCCAAGAUCCUGUCUGAGGAGUUUGGGUGGGACAAGGAUCUCGCCAAGAAGAUUUGGUGCUUUGGACCUGAGACGACUGGCCCCAACAUGGUUGUUGACAUGUGUAAGGGAGUGCAGUAUCUGAAUGAAAUCAAGGACUCUGUUGUGGCUGGGUUCCAGUGGGCAUCAAAAGAAGGAGCAUUGUGUGAGGAGAACAUGCGUGGUAUCUGCUAUGAGGUCUGUGAUGUUGUUCUCCACACUGAUGCUAUUCACAGGGGUGGUGGUCAGGUUAUCCCAACGGCGAGGAGGGUCAUUUACGCUUCUCAGCUCACUGCCAAGCCAAGGCUGCUGGAGCCCGUGUACCUGGUUGAGAUCCAGGCCCCGGAGAACGCACUUGGUGGUAUCUAUGGUGUGCUGAAUCAGAAGAGAGGCCACGUGUUCGAGGAGAUGCAGAGGCAAGGUACCCCACUCUACAACAUCAAGGCCUACCUGCCUGUUAUCGAGUCCUUCGGGUUCUCGAGCACCCUGAGGGCCGCGACGUCCGGCCAGGCCUUCCCCCAGUGUGUGUUUGACCACUGGGACGUCAUGGCCUCCGAUCCUUUGGACCCUGGCACCCAGUCGGCGACGCUCGUGACGGAGAUCCGCAAGAGGAAGGGUCUCAAGGAGCAGAUGACCCCCCUAUCCGACUUCGAGGACAAGCUCUAAAUUUUGGGGCUUCGAGGACAAGCUCUAAAUUUUGGGGCCAUGUUUUGGUACUGGCUCUUGCUGUGAAGGGAGGCGCGGUAUUUUUCUCCCUAUGUGUCUUCCUUACUAUGUUGUUGUUUGUAUGUGGUGCUACUGAGACUAUGGUUUUGAUGAUGGUUGUGGUGAUGUAACAGAUGUUAAACUUAGAUCAUACAUUUCUGGCAUCCCAUGGUGGUUUAUUUUUACUGUGCUGUGUUUGCUUUUGUGCUAGAUCUUGCUUUCAUUUACGUAUAUUUGACUGUCGUCUCUCGCAAUUGCGUGGUGCGUGUUGUUACGUUUGUGAGUUCCAGCCAUUGUUGCGUUCUGGUUCAUUCAUAAUCUCUUGGGCUGUUUUUUUCUUUCCUUUGCUCUUAGUUUCAUGUUGUUAUGAUGAUUUCCACCAGCCCCUUGUGUUCUUGCCCGGCCGCUCUCUAUUUGCUGCUCUGUGGCUGAGCAGUAUCGUUUUGCGAUAGAAGCUUUCAGUCUAUUAUACUAUAUGUGAAACUCAAAUGCUUGAUGGUUUUGUUUGUUAUGAUCUAUUUUUGGAGUGCCAUUGCUACUACAGUACGUACAUGGCAGAGAAAUGCUGCUGAUAUUAAUGAUCUGUAUCAACGCCUUUCAGAUCUUACCACUGUAGCGAAAUUGGCUGAUAACCCGCGUUACAUUUUUUACGACGGGAAUCGGAAUGAACAUAGCUAGAGAGCGCAGUGCUUGGCAGUUGUUGCCCUGGGUGAAGAUCGUUGCGGCAACAGCAAUGGAGGCCGCAUCUUUGUGUACAAUCAGGGUGACCAGUGCCGGCUUUUGUCAGCUGGUCUUUGUGUUCAAAAAAUUCACAAAGACUCUUUGUCAAAGAGCAUAUGACAAAAGACAGCACCGACAGACAUGGAAGAUGAGGGCCGGCAAAACAGAACCGCAUCGCAUAUGCGGGAGUAUAUUCCUAUUCCGUUUCUCAAGCGACGCGUCAGCGAUGACGUGCGACCGGACGACUGACUUAACCAAGCAAGCACCAGAGGCAUAUGCCGAUUGGAGCAGUUGAAGCGCCGCCAGGGAAGACCAAAAACCUGUCCUUUGCAUAGUUUGUACUGCAUUCCAUGGUUUUACCAGAUAUGGAAAAAUAUCCAAUUAUAUCAGUCCUUAGAGCAUGUACAAUUGUUGAUAAGACUGUUUUAUCUUAUGGCUGUAACGUUAUUUAGAAAGGACAAUAAAAAAUGAUGUGCAAUUCGUUAUUCUUACUUACCCUCGUCUUCAAUAACUAGAUAUCUCUAAUAUGUCGUGAGACAAUUGUUUCUAAAAAUUCUUUUUUUGGGGGGACAGGACAAGCGUGUACAACCCCUAAAAAUUCAAAAUACACACGAAGAAACAAAAAGGAGAAAUUCAGGUAUGAAUAGGCCAUUUUGCUUUUGUCUUCGUUUUACACUAAUCAUGAUGGAUUUGUCUUUUAUGUUUUUCAAUGUGUAUUUAGAUUUUGGAUCUGAGUUUUUUUAGGGAUUUGUAUACAUAUGUGUUGCGAACGUUCAUAGUUUUUAUCAAUUUUUUCAAAAUGUUCAAAUUUGAAUUUCAUAAAAUUGGGAGCAUGUAAGGUUUGGUGCAGUGGCGGAGCUUCAUGGGGCCCAAAGGGGGCCAUUGCCCCCCUACUCUAUAAAAUCUCUUUAAGUGUACCCCUAAUUAAUUGUUGGCUUGAAUAUCCAAGGUUUAUGACCCCGCGAAAAGAAAAAAGAAAAUCCAAGGUUUAUGCAUAACUUGUCUUCGUCGCGCCCUCAACAAUCUUCAUCAAGCUCUUCUGGUCCCUGAUGCUUUCUGCACCAGAUAUAUCUUUCUUCCUGUGUUAGCGCACAUUUCUUUCUUCAUGCUCUCAAACAAUUUUUGCGAUGGGGACACCGGCUUCCAAGUCAUGUUGAUUGGUUAGCACGCACUCUCGAAACAUGUUCUGGACGAGUCGAGGCAUAAUUUUUGCUACAUCUUAAUUACUUUUCUUUAAAAAAUCCAUUUACUUCAAUUUUUUGAUAAAAUCCAUUUACUUCGUGGAUGCUAGUANNNNNNNNNNNNNNNNNNNNNNNNNNNNNNNNNNNNNNNNNNNNNNNNNNNNNNNNNNNNNNNNNNNNNNNNNNNNNNNNNNNNNNNNNNNNNNNNNNNNNNNNNNNNNNNNNNNNNNNNNNNNNNNNNNNNNNNNNNNNNNNNNNNNNNNNNNNNNNNNNNNNNNNNNNNNNNNNNNNNNNNNNNNNNNNNNNNNNNNNNNNNNNNNUUACAUGUCAGUUUUGCCUAUAUGGAGGGCAGAGACAUUAGAAGAUGACGGAAAUGAUUCUCAUGCAAGAGUUUAACUAUAUGCGUACUUCUAUGCAAAUACAAUAAAUAUGAAGAAAGAGAUAGAGAGAAGGUGAAAAGAAGUACUACUCUUAUAGCCAAACUUGUUGUAUGAGUGACUAUAAGUGAUGAUUAUAUAUGACAUGACAACAUCAGAUAACUAGUAGUUGAUUAUACUAUUAACCAUGCUAUAAUCAGGGGAUCGUAUUCCUCAUUCUCCAUACGCGGCUGUUAUGAUCCCGUGCUUUUGUGAGCUUGGUUGAACAGUAAAAUUUAAAAAAACAAUUUAGAAAUUUCUGGAUUUUUUUUAUGAAACUUUGACAAAUAUUUUGAUAGCUUGCAGAAUUUCAUCGCUAGAUGAAAUUUGUGUAAAAUGUGGCAAAAAACAAAACCGAUGUUCCAAAAAUAUUAUUUUCAAACGCAUUUUGGCAAUUCCUUGUCCUAUUUUUUUUUCUCUGACGUGAAACGGAGAUCCAACUGGCCCAUGAGACGGAAAAUCUGGCGAUCUUCUUUUACGGAUCUGGUCAAUUACCUCUGUAACCACGGCCCCCUAAACCCUUGCUCGAUCUCCCCCAAAUCCCAACCGGCCGAUCAUCAUGCCGCCGUCACGGCCGCCACGUCGCCGCUGCGGCCGACGGCGGCGCUCGGCCACCGCAGCAGGGACGGAUCCCUCCGCAGGCGGGAGCAGAGGGUGGCUCGCCGCCCGCCGCAGGCCGUUCAAGCGGCCCGGGCCCGAGCACGGCGACCAGGCGCUGCCCCUGUGCGACGAGACCCUGCUCCUCGUCUUCUCCGCCCUCUCCGACGCCGGGGACCUCGUCCGCUGCGCGUCCACCUGCAGGCGCUGGCGCCGCCUCGUCUCCUCCGACGCCGCCUUCAUCUGCCGCCGCGGCCCCCCGCGCUGCGACCGCUUCGCCCGCCGCCUCGCGGUCGGCGUCUUCCUGCACGGCGCCCGCGGCCGCGGCCGCUCCCGCGGCGACGGCUUCGUGCCCUUCACCAAGCCCGAUCUCUCGAUCGCCGACGGCGGGGUGCCGGGCUCGUCGUCGCGCGUCGUCGCGUCCCGCAACGGCCGCGUCGUGAUGGACCUCCGCCGCGCCAAGAGCGCCUGCGUGCUGCGCCUCUGCGUGUGCGACCCCAUGACCGGCAACGCCGACCUGCUCCCGCCCCUGGCCGGCAAGGACCGCCCGGGCCCGUACGCGUGCGCCCUGCUCACCGCCGACGACGGGCUCCACCUCUACGACGCAUGCGCGGCCACGUCCCCGUCCCCGUCCUCGUACCGCGUGCUCCUCCUCUACAACCACCGCAGCUACACGGCGCUCCGUCGCUACUCCUCGGACGACGGCAGCUGGGGCCCGGAGGUGGAGGUGACCGGCGCCCGGAUCGCGAGGGGGCGGCAGCUGGGCGUCAGGGCGCACGCCACGCUGGUGCGGGGCGGCGCGGUCUGCUGGUACGGGCUCGGCAUCGCCGUCAACCCCGCCACGCUGCACACGUCCAGCUUUGGCUACACCGUGCAGGCCUUCGAGUCGCCGCCGCGCCGCGCCAAGGCCUCCCUCGGCGAGGUGGACCGGCUGCUGGGGCUGAUGCCGGACGGGCGGCUGUGCGUGCUGGAGUGCAAGGCCGACGCGGUGCGCGCCUACGUGGUCGUCUACGCCGACGCGGUGAGGAACGGCGGCGUGUCGGGGAGGAAGGAGUGGCGGUGGACGCUGAACGCGGAGCUGAUGGGCCUGCAGGCGGUGAGGCUGCGGUGGUUCUGCGAGCAGAGCGGCGUGGCGCUCUUCACGGCGAGGAACCGGGGCGGCAAGACGCAGGUGUACGCGGUGGACGUGGAGACGAUGCAGGUGGGCAGGGUGGACUGGUCGGGGGACGACGGCGACGGCGGCGACGGGGACAUGGACGUGUGUGGGUACGAGAUGGACCGGGUGGCCAUGCUCGCCGAGCUCGACCACUCCGCUGAGCUCCAUCCAGCUCCUCGGCAGCUCUGAUUCAACAUUCUUUUCCUUAUUUUUCCCUUCUUUUUCUACAAAAUUUCAUUGAUUUCUGCAAUGACUGCAAAUUGUAGUUUUUGUAUAGGAGUAUUUAUAAUGCUUUUCGAAAAAUCAGUACUAAUACUGCAACCCAAACUGGUUCCAUUAUCGCCACUGUCAUUGUUCUCGCGAAAAUUGGAUCUGGGUCACCAAAUGAACCAAGCAUCUCAUACAGGUACAUGGAUUGUUUGCAUAUAAACACCAAUGAACUUCUGACUAAAAUUUUCAACUUUUAAGGGAACAGAAACCACUUCUGACUAAAAUUUUCAACUUUUAAGGGAACAGUUAAAUUUAUAGCAGUAACAUAAAAAUACAAAACAUGAUUUCUUUGGCAGCAAACAUCGGUGAAUAUUCUACUCCCUCUAUAAAGAAACAGUUUGUCUAAUUCACAUCUAGAUGUUUUUUAAGGAUGUCACAUCUAACCUCCCACAAGUAAGGCAACAACAAAGAACAAAAAAACUGGGACAAAAAAAAAAUAGACUACAAGCGUAGUGGAGAUCAGGUUAGAUGUGACAACAUCUAGAUGUGUCCUAAACAGACCCACAAAAAAAUAUAUUUCUUUUCGGAGGGAGUACAUACUUGGAAACUUCUUGAAAAAAAUAACACUCCUAAUACUCUGUCAAUAGCAAAAUCAAUGCUCCAGAAAGAAUAUUUUUGAAAGCAUUUGAUUUUGUAAAACAAAUCCUAGACCUCCACGAAUGUGAUUUCAUCACGAAAUUUGCAUGCACAUAGAAAACUAAGCAAUGUUCGUUGUAAAAAAAAUUCAGACUUUUAUUGUUCAUGAGCUCUUGAGCUCGAGAUUAUAAGGGACCCUUUCACCCGUUUGCAUUGUUUACACACCGAACACAAUCAUCAUUCAUCAGCCAAGCAACAACUAAACUGCAGCAACAUCAUCG